GAAGGAAGGGGGCGGGCAGAGGUCCUCUGCUCCCGGGCCCGGCGGGAACAAACUGCCGCGGUGGCGGGAGCUAAGCUCGCUUGGCUGGAGGCGGGUCAUCCUUCUUCUCGCAGCUCCCGCAACCCGGUGGCUCCCUGGACCCACCACCUUCAGUGCGCUCAGUUGCUGGGACUCAAGGCUUAUGCCAGUGCAGCUGCAGCUGGUGGUGGCAGUGGCUAGAAACCUUCUCUCCUCCUCUCCCCAAGGCGGCGCCCGGGCCACCCGGGCCGAAGCGCGGAUGGAUCGCGAGUGAACCGAGCCGCCCAGACCGACGCCACGGACAAGAACCUACUGGAGGCCAAGCGGGUUCCGGCCGGCUAGAGGAGAGUGUGAUCCGGAGGAACAAACUGGAACAAACUUGGCUCCCGCAGAUGCUACUCAGAGAGGACCCAGAAACAAGUCGCUCCAUUUCAUACUGAACCCAUUUCAGCCUCUUGAGUCUGGAAGGGACAGGCUAAGGAACUGGACAGACGGCUGACUGUUGCCUCAACAGCGCCGCACAGUGGCCAAGGCUCCAGCAUAGGAGGUCUCAGUACCUGCUGUGUCCCAUAGUCCCAAACCUCUGUCACCCUUUGUUAGGUAACUUCCUUUCAGAGCCCUACUUUCCUGGUAGGCGCGAUUAAGAGCAGGGCCAGAGGACUUAAACUGCUGGGAUCCAAACUUUGGUUUCACCAGUUACCAGCUGUCUCACCUGGCUAAUUUUAACCUUUUUGCCUGUCUCUUCCUCUAAAAUAAAAUUUAAAACACCUACCUCAAGGCUGACAUGAUUGUAAGCCCUUCCAUAAGUAAGUAACUUCAGCAUUCAGAAUGCUGCGGCAAGAGGUUUGCUUCAAGUUCCAGGCCAGUCUGAGCUACAGAUGAAACUCUGACUCAGAAUUAAGUAAGUAAAUAAAAUAAGAUGAAUUUACCUUGUGACCAAUUAAAGGCAGCCAUUAAUAGGCCACUGAUUAGGUAGACUCUAGGUGCCCUAUUCUCGGGGAGAGAAGGUGGCUCCCACCUGGUAGCACCACAGUAACAUCUCUAGACAGUGUGCUGGAAUGUGUGCAUGCUUGUACACUCACACACAAACACCCAGAGGAUGAGGGAAGAGAGGGAGGGAGGGAGGGAGGGAGGGAGAGAGAGAGAGAGAGAGAGAGAGAGAGAGAGAGAGAGAGAGAGAGCUCUGAGUAAGGUUAUGAGAAGGAAAUUUGCUUAAUGUAAGCAAAAUAUGUAUAAGGGUGGGUGAACCCCUUUAUCUAACAGCAGCCUUCACGAUGAAGGCAGGGAUUUACCAAACCCCCUCUGGGACCUCUGACCAAGGGGACCCACUUAGUGUGCUGGGUCUGCAUAAACCAAGUAUCCCUGGGAAAGAGAAUAGGUCCAGCACUCAAAACAGGGACAGUAAAUUGGAUAGUCUAGUGGCCCUGGAGGUGGAAUGUUCUGGCCACCACAGCCAUACUUCAAGUUUGCUUUGCUUAAUGGAGUAACCCUCUCUCCCACAAGAUUCCACUCAGAUACUCCACACCACCAACCACAUCCUUACCCCUACCCAGCUCUCUGCUAGUGUCCCGGGAAGUAAAGAGGAGAACAGCAUUGGCAUCUUCAGAUCUGUUUCACCUUCACUUCAAAACCGGCAAACCUAUCUCCUUUAAGGCUCCACGAAAAACAGGGCCAGCCCUUGCUGCCCUUCGCUGCAUCCUACAGCCCAUUCGCUGAGACUGAAGCUCCGCUGGAAAAAGCAGUCAAGAAGCCCCGGCUUCUAUUCUUUGGGGCCAUUAGUGAGGCAUGUCCUUCAGGGAUCAUCCAAACUUAACACCAACAAGAAUGGAAAGAAAGGGCCAGGGCAGGAUAUCGCUUGCCAGGUUUUUGAGGUGUUCUACGUUAUACCCCACCCGUCCCAGAACUCUUCUCUUUACCCAAAUAACUGCUCUCCGGGACCCUCCCCUCGCCUAGGGGGAGCUGGUCUUUGCUUAAGGCCCAGCAGCCUCCGUCUGUCUCACUGCUUAGCCACCCAGCUUGAGCAGCCUGGAACAAUUGAGAAGAUGCUCCAAGGAGACGGUGUGUCUAUGCAGGGUCUUACAUCCCAAAAUGUUUUUAUAACUGGCCAGGAGUUGUGUCUAUUGUGAAGUAUGUGUGGUUCCUACUUGCUUCCAAGCCAUCUACCUCUCCAGCUUCUCUUAAGAAAGAGCCCCACAGAGAAGCCAUUUUUAUGGAUCUGGGAAAGAAAAGCUCUCCCGGGAUCAUAUGGCUAUGUUUAAGUCAGCGGCAAAACUGCUAAGGUACUGAGCUGCUGACGCAGAAGUUUGUCCCUUGACUCAGAAGAACAUAGCCUGAAGUCUUAGAAUCUGGAGCUCAAAGAGCAGCCUGGCAGGCCCCAGGCACUUCUAGGCCGUGGAAAGAGGGAGGAGCUAAGCAGAGCAUACCGUGUUCAUGCACUUUUACAAAUUCGUUUACCAACAGGCUAACCUUGGAGAAAGCUGCAGAGCCAAUGCCAGCCCCCUCCCCUGCUCCAAGAGGCCACAGCCCCGUUUUGAGAUUAAAAACAAAAAAACAACAAACAACAACAACAACAACAACAAACAAAACAAAACAAAACAAAACAAAACCACGGCUGCAGCUGCUACAACUCCCAUCUCUAAACCUGCUUUGGAAUCUAAGCUUCCCUUGGCUGGAUUUGAAGGUAGAGACUUGAUUUUGUGCCCACAAAGGUGGGCGUAAGGUGACUGGGAUUCCAGUGUGUGCACCAUCAUUUCAGCAGCCCAAGCCCAGCAGCCUCUGCUCUAUCCCACAGCUAGGAUGACACCCUUUUCCUCUGGUUUCAUCAAUGUUGGCCAAGGACCUCUCUAUUCUCAAAGUAGUGGGAGUCUUGCUUAAGCACCUACAACCUACUUGGCGGCGGCGGCGGCGGCGGCGGCAGCGGCGGUUAGGACCAGAAUAAGCUAUGGAUCCCGUUCGUGGGAAGAGGGUUGCAAGCUCAAGAGAGGAUAAAAGCAUCACCACCCCCAAACCGCGGAGCGGAAGCGCCUGCUUAACAUACCCGAAAGGCCAGGCUUCGCAAGCGCAUGCAGGAGAGCUGAAGUUCGGCAGAGUAAGUGAGGACAAUUCCAGCGCUGAAGCGAGCGCUCCAAUUCUACACUUUCCCUUGUGGAUUCUAUGGACCCUAGGUCCAAGGGUCUGUUUGUCUGUCUGAGUGUGUAUUUUUUCCUUCGCUUAACUUGCUCAGUGUGAUCAAGAAUGCCCCAGAGCGGCAGUCUUUUUACGCAUUUCCCCUACCGACCUCACUUGGUGUUCACUGGGUCCGGGUGACCUGAGACUUCCCUGGAAUGCUGUCUGUUCAAACUUAAAGUUUUCCUCUAGAACCUGCGGGAGCAGAGACCUGGUCUGGGACUGGCCGACUGACCCCAGAGGGAACGGCUGUGUGUUAGUGUGCAGAUCUAGGGCGGAGCGAUAAGAGUCUGGGAGACAGAGGAGUGUGGAAAGCUACGAAGCUGCCAUAGAACCUGGUGGGCACGGGCCACGACCUCCUUCGUACCGAUCUCACACUGAUUCUAGAAGAGCUUCGCUCUGAGAAUAGACCGCUCUUCUAAGUGUCCUAAAUUGGGGUAGGGUUAAGGGGACUGUGCCUAGCCUUAGGGACUCAGUUACCCUAUGCAUCGUCACAUUUCACUUUUCCCAAUGAUUGGUGAAGUUGUAGGUCCUCGGAUGGGCAGAGAAAUGCUGCAGAAUUCUCAGGCUCGUGGGGUACAUGCGGAGACUCUUAAACCUAGAGGAAGCUGAAUAAGGAACCAGCCAGAGCCGGGGCCAAGCUGCUCAGUUGCUGUGAGUGGAUUCCUGGAGAACAGCGACCUCUGGAGGACCGUCGCAUCCACGAAAAGCCAGGAACAACACACUUGGCUGAGUCCAAAUCGCCAUCUUUCCACCCCACUCCUACACACUUCUUUGGCACUCAUCCAGAAACUUAGGACUCCACUCUUCGCUCAUCUUGGCUGCCUUUCCCUCUGAAGCCUCCUCGGAGAAGCCUUCCCAAAGUCAAGUCCGUCCUCCCUCUCUGCAAUGAGCUUCUCAAAACCUAACAUCUGGACCCUCAACUCGUGCUCUGCUCACUACUGAGAAAUCCACCUGCUUUCUGCCCCACCCAUUUUCAAAGAGACCGUUAAUUCACUCCACACCCGCCCUUUGUGAGCCAUGCUAGGUGUGUGUGUGUGUGUGUGUGUGUGUGUGUGUGUGUGUGUGUGUGUGUGUGUUGUUGUUGUUGUUGUUUGGUUUCCCUUUCUUUCUCUCUCCCCCUCUCUCCCUCCCUCUUACCCUUCCUCUUUCCCUCCUGUCUUGGUAAAGGAACACUGAGGUCUAAAACUGGACAAUGAAUUUUUCUUUUUUUUUGAAUAGAUAAUAUGUUUAUUACUGUGAGGUAACGUGUACUUAUUAGAAUGCUAAAAAAUAAUUCCAUAUGCUCCCAAAGUGAUGUGUUUUUUCAGAGGUGAAGAGAGCAUCUAACUUUAUUUCUCUGUGGGUGAAAAAAACCCCAUAACCAGACUUUUUUAAAGCAGUGAUCUCUCUGGAGUCUAUGGACCUGCGUCCACAGCGCAUUUAGAGGCAGGUUCUUUGAACGUUUCCCUGUGGGCCUGUGAGUUGUGUUAAUUUCAGCAUCCUCAGCAAUUUUUGAUAGGUCCUGCUCCAGCGGUCUGUCACAGACUGCAUUGUGUUUUGAGUUUCCCUGUGGACUGUGGGUUUUUCAAAACUCAUUUCUCACGUGGGGAAGUGGAAACACAGAGGUGAAUGCAUUUCCUGAGAGUCGCACAGCAGAUAGGCAGUAGAAGUGGGGACUGGAGGUUUAAUACCACACUUCCCAGGGCAGUGUUCUCUUUGUCUCUCCUGAAGGAGAAGCAUGUAAUGUGUGGAAGGGGUCAUUCUGGUGGGGGCUCAGAGAGGGGGUUGGGGCGAAGAAAAUAGGAAAUGAAGAGGGAACUGGGGAGGGGCUCACUGCUCCAGGAUGGUACCAUAAAGAAAGCAGACAAGGAGGCUGUGCUGUGUCUCAGACAGAAGUAACUGUGGUGGGUGUGAGCUCCCAUUACUGAAGUAGAGACUAGACGACCCCUGAACUAGUGUCUUAGUGACCUAAGGUAAAGCAGGAAGGGCUCGCUCAGGUCAUCACCUUAUCCUCCUCCUGUAACUCUCAGAAGACGAUCUCGAAGGUCUCCACUGUCUUGCUUGUAAAAUCAGAAAUUUGGGCUUUGGACUAGGACCAAAGAAAUUUCUAGCUAAUCAUCUCAGGGGCUCCUGAGAAGUUUGAAAAACUCUGUACAGAGUCAAGUUGUCUCUGGGAAAUAAAAAGAAGUGGCUAUCCAAAGAUCCAGUACGUAGGAGUGUGGUCUCCUACCAAGAGAUGAGUGGAAUUUACUUCUAUUUCCUGCUUAAGUGCCUGCACGUGGCUGUGAGGUAUGUUCAAGUUCUCCUUGUGGCACUGACUGUAAGGGCUAGAAACAAUAUAAAUGCCCAGCAGUGAGAAGAUGGGGGAGAGUAAGUAAUAGUAACAGGCCCUAGAACAGAAGAGCAUGUAGUGUGAAACAGAAUAAAGACGUCCACGCAGUAGUCUAAAAGGUGCUCCAGGGUACACUGUUAAGUGAAAAGGAUUGUGGAGCAGUAAUAACAUUUGUGUCUCCAACUGUCGUAGGUUUUGUUCAUUUGUUUGUUUCUUUUUUUUUUUUUCCGGAGCUGGGGACCGAACCCAGGGCCUUGCGCUUGCUAGGCAAGCGCUCUACCACUGAGCUAAAUCCCCAACCCCUGUUUGUUUCAUUUUUAAGACAGGGUCUUGCUAUGUGGCCUUAACUGUCUUACAGCUUGCUAUGUAGAUCAGGCUAGCCUCACAAAGAUCCACCUGCUUCUGCAUUUGGUGUGCUGAGAUUAAAGGUGUAUGCCACCAACCCUAACUGUGGUGUUUUUUUCCUUUGAGGAUAAUAUAUGUGCAUUGGUUUGUGUAUACAACCGAAAUACCUGUCAAGCACUCCCCAGCUGAGCGUCUUCCUAGCCCCAAGGAGGACUUUCCAUGAAAUGCCUUUUAAAGACAAAUGGAUAUAUUACACAUCCAGCAACAAAAUAAAACAGUUUAAAGGGA
Non-coding RNA from Rattus norvegicus (Norway rat), 6130 nucleotides. Lineage: Eukaryota; Metazoa; Chordata; Mammalia; Rodentia; Muridae. The record is from RefSeq and is a predicted model, not a curated record.